Molecule: non-coding RNA, 724 nt
Organism: Thalassophryne amazonica
Lineage: Eukaryota; Metazoa; Chordata; Actinopteri; Batrachoidiformes; Batrachoididae
Source: the annotation of a RefSeq genome assembly
ACAGCUGCAGUUCUCCUACCAGGGUUCCACCAAUCACACAUUUUCUUUGACGACUGUUUUUCAGAUUCCGAAACUCGAAACAACAGUGCUAAUUCUCAUUGGCUCCAACAUUAACACCAACAUAAAGUGCUUAACAAUGACCACUAGAGGGAGCCACAGACUGUUUGCCAUCAAUGGAUGAUGUCAUGUUGACGGUUCACCAACAGAUGAUGUAGAUGAAGGUCCAGAUGGUUCAGAGUCUCAGUGUUCUUCCUCUCUCUCCUCCCCUCUCACUGCAGACAUGAAACACUGGCUGACAAACAUCCUGAUUCUGACUCUCUGGCUCGAGUGUAAAGGAGAAGACAGAGUGAUCCAGCCCACAGCAGAUGUCAUUGCUGCUGAAGGACACCACGUCACACUUCAAUGUUCCUUUGAAACCAGCAGCACAAGCAAUUAUUUGUUCUGGUACCAACAAGAACUAAAUGGUUCUCCAGAGUUUAUGUUGCAACGUGAUAAAUUUGGAACAAGAAGAAAUGCUGCAGAGUUCAACAAAGAGAGAUUUGAUGCUGAAGUCAACAAGACAUCAGUUGAUCUGAAGAUCCAGAAGCUGCAGCUGCGAGACUCUGCUGUGUACUACUGCGCUCUGCAGCCCACAGGUUGUGUCCUUUCACCUUAUUUGUUCUAUAUACCAACAUGUGCCAAAGUCAACACCAAGGAUUCUGUCGUGUCUCUUAAACUCAGAUGA